CAGAGGGUGCGAGCGUUGUUCGGAAUUACUGGGCGUAAAGCGCGCGCAGGCGGCCUUUUAAGUCUACCCGUGAAAUGCCGGGGCUCAACUCCGUGCACGCCGGGGGAUACUGGGAGGCUGGAGACAUGUAGAGGCAAGCGGAAUUCCGGGUGUAGCGGUGGAAUGCGUAGAGAUCCGGAAGAACACCUGAGGCGAAGGCGGCUUGCUGGGCAUGAUCUGACGCUGAGGCGCGAAAGCGUGGGGAGCAAACAGGAUUAGAUACCCUGGUAGUCCACGCCGUAAACGAUGGGCACUAGACGCGGGUGGGAUCGACCCCUUCCGUGUCGCAGCUAACGCGAUAAGUGCCCCGCCUGGGGAGUACGGCCGCAAGGCUG
This 374-nucleotide ribosomal RNA is filed under the name uncultured organism. RNAcentral describes it as "bacterial SSU rRNA". It matches the Rfam family "Bacterial small subunit ribosomal RNA", at positions 526 to 896 of the family's 1533-position model. The record is from RNAcentral.